UUUAAAAGGACAGAGAGUAUACCAAAGGGGGAAAGAUUCCAUGAGCCAAAUAUGUCAAAAUCAAUCCAACACACACUUCAAAGAUUACUUGGCAAUCCAGAAAGAUUACUGGCAAUCCAGAAAGAUGAUCAUAACUUUCCAUUUCUAAAGCCUAUUAAACCAACGGUGGAAAUCCUCCCACUUUCCAUUUAUAAAAGCUGAAAAGUAAAAGACAUAAUAAUAAUUUAAAAAUAUCUCAUGUCAUUUUUCUUACUUUGAAGUUUGAACGCUAAAAAUGAGGUUAAGCAUUAUUGAAAUCC
RNAcentral lists this long non-coding RNA (299 nucleotides) under Manihot esculenta (cassava). RNAcentral's name for it is "long non-coding RNA (MESC_LNC000061)". The record is from RNAcentral. Lineage: Eukaryota; Viridiplantae; Streptophyta; Magnoliopsida; Malpighiales; Euphorbiaceae.